UACUCAAUAUGAUUUCAUUAUAUCAAAAUCUCACAAAUCCAGAACAAGUCUAAAUAAAAAAUAAUGUUAUUGAAAUAUAAAUACAAUACUAUAUAUUAAAAUACUAAUACAAAAGUGAUUCAUUUAUAUUUUAUACGACACUAUAUUUUUUUUUUAUGUUAUAUUUUAUAUUCCAAAUAACAUUAUUUUUAAACAAAAUAGGAUAACUGCCCAAUUGAACAAUAUAUAAAAUUAUAAAAACACACUAAACUAUUUAACUUCAAAAUAAUAUCAAAAGGGUUUCAAGAUUGCCUCACAAUAGUUUGACCAUGAAUAUAAUGUGACUUUAUAUUUUUUUGGUUCACCACACAUUUCAAUAUGCAUAUGAUUGUUUCUAUCAAAAAUUAAAAUUUUUGAUAUCAUUGUGUUAAAUUAAAUCCAUAAACAGUUUUAGUUUUUGCCUUGUUCAUUUGCAUAUAUAGGUAAUUAUUCCUAAAGGAAUAUAUAUUCGAUAUCAUUGUGUUAAAUUAAAUCCGUUGUGCAUGGUUGAAUUAAAAGAGUUUGUUCAUCAUGAGAUCUUGAGGUUCGACAAAUACUAUGAUCAUUGGGCAAUGCUCAUGGAGAAUCUCAUUGGAUUAAAGGAGUAUUGGACCUAGCUGGUUGAGAAUGGGAUUCCAAUGGUUGCAUCUAGUGCCACCCCUGAACAACUCAAGAAUUCUAAGUCAAUUCUAAAUAGAGACAUAUCAAAGGCAAUUUGAGACUCAGUAAAACAAAAAUGUCUAAGCUCUCUUAUGGUGUAGAGAGCACAGUUACAAGAUUUGCGAAAAGAAUUUGAUAUUCUUGGAGUGAAAGAAGUGUUGGAAUCAGAUUGGUUCUAGGAACAAUUCUUUCAUCAUGUUUUGAUGAUAACAAGUGUAUUUUGUGAGAAUAAUUUAUUGCACUAAUUGUUUCAUUAACUGUGCAGAAAAAUAGAACAAGAAUCAGAGGAAGAUAUCAGAGGAAUAUAUCAGAGGAGGAUAUCAAAGGAAAUAUAUUAGAGGAAGAUAUCAGACAUAUCAGAGGAUGAUAUCAAAGGAAGUGAAGAUGUCAGAGGAAACGAAGAUAUCAAAGAAAGCAAAGUCAAAGUAGUCAACACAAGGCUCAUACUCAGGUUGGUGCUUGCUCUAAAAUCUCUUACCAAAGUGCCUCUAAAUUUUAUGGACGUUUUAACUCUAAAGACUGAAGCAUGCCUUUGAAAUUUGAAGAUUACCUCUAAAGAUUGUAGCAUGCCUUUUGAGAUUGAAGUAUAUCUUUGAAGAUUCUUCUUAGCAUGCCUUUAAAUCGCCUACAUCAUGUUGGCUCUUAAGGUUAUUUUCCAUUCACUCUAAAUACUACAACCUGCUCCAAGAUGAUGCCUCUAAUACGCAGUAUACUCUGCAAAUACACUGACUCUAACGAUGCAACAAGGGGAUAUUGUUCAAUCCACUAAUUCUAAGUUAUGCAGUUCUGCCUCUGACUACUUGAACAAAGCAAUACAACAUAUUACUCCAAUGAACAAGUCAUGGUUUAAUUCAUUAUCAAACGAUAUCUCAACACUCUCGCACAAAAGCAUUCUAAAAGAUUUGGUUGAAAAUUAGUUUUGGAAUUAAUCAACCUUCAACGGUUACAUUCCCAAACUGUAUCUAUCAAGGAUUAUUUUUUGUGAAGAUCUUUGUUGACAAAGCUGCAAACAGAUACGUUCAGAUUUUAAUUGGGACAUGAUUGAAACCUUAAUUCAUGCUAUAUAAUGGGAUCAAUCCGAAGAAAGAGAAGAAGAUAACAAGAAAUACAAUAAUACAGCUAUGCAUACAAAAACUAAGAAAUUCUAAAGUAUUCAAAUUCAAAGUUUCAAGCAAGGAACUUGUUCAACUUUAUAUCAAUAAGGGCUUAGUACUUUGUUAGUGUGAAAAAUUUUGUUAUCAAAUAUGCUUAAAAUUUUCACCUCAUUGUAACAUAGUCCUGUAGUGGCUAUAGUUUGCCUCAAUGAAAGUUUUAAGUUAUAAAUUCAUAAGGUUUGAGUUGUAGGGUCAAGGUAUAGUUUUUCCUCACACAGUUUGUUGGUUUUGAGAAAAUUGACUUGUAAUUUAUGAUUGAAUUAGUGGAUAAAUCAUUCUUUUUGAAAGGAGUGGACAUAGCUUCCACGUUGGUACUGAAACAAUAUAAAUUAUGGUGUCAUCCCUCUGCCCAGUUACUUUGUUUUAUUGACUCCUCUGGUCUAUUUAUUUAUCUGUUCGUGCAUCACUAAAUCAGAAUUAAAAAGAAGUAAUCUUAACACAAAAUACAAUUCAAC
RNAcentral lists this long non-coding RNA (2287 nucleotides) under Cicer arietinum (chickpea). RNAcentral describes it as "long non-coding RNA (CARI_LNC001954)". Lineage: Eukaryota; Viridiplantae; Streptophyta; Magnoliopsida; Fabales; Fabaceae. The record is from RNAcentral.